GGGGUUGCGGACAGUGUCUGGUGGGUAGUUUGACUGGGGCGGUCUCCUCCCAAAGCGUAACGGAGGAGCACGAAGGUUAGCUAAUCCUGGUCGGACAUCAGGAGGUUAGUGCAAUGGCAUAAGCUAGCUUGACUGCGAGCGUGACGGCGCGAGCAGGUGCGAAAGCAGGUCAUAGUGAUCCGGUGGUUCUGAAUGGAAGGGCCAUCGCUCAACGGAUAAAAGGUACUCCGGGGAUAACAGGCUGAUACCGCCCAAGAGUUCAUAUCGACGGCGGUGUUUGGCACCUCGAUGUCGGCUCAUCACAUCCUGGGGCUGAAGUAGGUCCCAAGGGUAUGGCUGUUCGCCAUUUAAAGUGGUACGCGAGCUGGGUUUAGAACGUCGUGAGACAGUUCGGUCCCUAUCUGCCGUGGGCGCUGGAGAAUUGAGGGGGGCUGCUCCUAGUACGAGAGGACCGGAGUGGACGCAUCACUGGUGUUCGGGUUGUCAUGCCAAUGGCACUGCCCGGUAGCUAAAUGCGGAAGAGAUAAGUGCUGAAAGCAUCUAAGCACGAAACUUGCCCCGAGAUGAGUUCUCCCUGAGACUUUAAGUCUCCUGAAGGAACGUUGAAGACGACGACGUUGAUAGGCCGGGUGUGUAAGCGCAGCGAUGCGUUGAGCUAACCGGUACUAAUGAACCGUGAGGCUUAACCUUACAACGCCGAAG
This 702-nucleotide ribosomal RNA is filed under the name Klebsiella pneumoniae. RNAcentral's name for it is "bacterial LSU rRNA". It matches the Rfam family "Bacterial large subunit ribosomal RNA", at positions 2241 to 2925 of the family's 2925-position model. The record is from RNAcentral. RNAcentral also lists the same sequence under 1 other name. Lineage: Bacteria; Pseudomonadati; Pseudomonadota; Gammaproteobacteria; Enterobacterales; Enterobacteriaceae.